UGCGUAGGCGGUUUGAUAAGUCUGAUGUGAAAUCCUAUGGCUCAACCAUAGAACUGCAUUGGAAACUGUCAAACUAGAAUACUGAAGGGGCAGAUGGAAUUAGUGGUGUAGGGGUAAAAUCCGUAGAUAUCACUAGGAAUACCGAAAGCGAAAGCGAUCUGCUGGGAAGUUAUUGACGCUGAGGCACGAAAGCGUGGGGAGCAAACAGGAUUAGAUACCAUGGUAGUCC
RNAcentral lists this ribosomal RNA (229 nucleotides) under uncultured bacterium. Its description in RNAcentral is "partial 16S ribosomal RNA". It matches the Rfam family "Bacterial small subunit ribosomal RNA", at positions 568 to 796 of the family's 1533-position model. The record is from RNAcentral.